GGAGUUUUCGGCAAUGGGCGAAAGCCUGACCGAGCAACGCCGCGUGAGUGAUGAAGGUCUUCGGAUUGUAAAGCUCUGUUACGAGGGACGAAUACAUUUGUCAGGAAAUGGGCAGAUGGGAGACGGUACCUCGCCAGAAAGUGACGGCUAACUACGUGCCAGCAGCCGCGGUAAUACGUAGGUCACGAGCGUUAUCCGGAAUUAUUGGGCGUAAAGAGUGAGCAGGCGGCAUAGCAAGUCUGAGGUGAAAGCGUGGGGCUCAACCCCAUACAGCCUUGGAAACUACUAAGCUAGAGUGCGUGAGAGGUAAACGGAACUCCAUGUGUAGCGGUGAAAUGCGUAGAUAUAUGGAAGAACACCAGUGGCGAAGGCGGUUUACCAGCACUGCACUGACGCUCAGUCACGAAAGCGUGGGGAGCAAAUA
This 424-nucleotide ribosomal RNA is filed under the name uncultured bacterium. RNAcentral's name for it is "bacterial SSU rRNA". It matches the Rfam family "Bacterial small subunit ribosomal RNA", at positions 358 to 774 of the family's 1533-position model. The record is from RNAcentral.